AGCGAACGCUGGCGGCAGGCCUAACACAUGCAAGUCGAACGGUAACAGGUCUUCGGAUGCUGACGAGUGGCGAACGGGUGAGUAAUACAUCGGAACGUGCCUAGUAGUGGGGGAUAACUACUCGAAAGAGUGGCUAAUACCGCAUGAGAUCUACGGAUGAAAGCAGGGGAUCGCAAGACCUUGUGCUACUAGAGCGGCCGAUGGCAGAUUAGGUAGUUGGUGGGAUAAAAGCUUACCAAGCCGACGAUCUGUAGCUGGUCUGAGAGGACGAUCAGCCACACUGGGACUGAGACACGGCCCAGACUCCGACGGGAGGCAGCAGUGGGGAAUUUUGGACAAUGGGCGAAAGCCUGAUCCAGCAAUGCCGCGUGCAGGAUGAAGGCCUUCGGGUUGUAAACUGCUUUUGUACGGAACGAAAAGCCCCGGGUUAAUACCCUGGGGUCAUGACGGUACCGUAAGAAUAAGCACCGGCUAACUACGUGCCAGCAGCCGCGGUAA
Molecule: ribosomal RNA, 498 nt
Filed under: uncultured bacterium
Lineage: Bacteria
Description: partial 16S ribosomal RNA
Rfam family: Bacterial small subunit ribosomal RNA
Source: RNAcentral